AGAGUUUGAUUAUGGCUCAGGAUGAACGCUGGCGGCGUGCUUAACACAUGCAAGUCGAGCGAAGCACUUAAGAAAGAUUCUUCGGAUGAAUUCUUUGGUGACUGAGCGGCGGACGGGUGAGUAACGCGUGGGUAACCUGCCUCAUACAGGGGGAUAACAGUUAGAAAUGACUGCUAAUACCGCAUAAGCGCACAGUGCUGCAUGGCACAGUGCGAAAAACUCCGGUGGUAUGAGAUGGACCCGCGUUGGAUUAGGCAGUUGGCGGGGUAACGGCCCACCAAACCGACGAUCCAUAGCCGGCCUGAGAGGGUGAACGGCCACAUUGGGACUGAGACACGGCCCAA
This 344-nucleotide ribosomal RNA is filed under the name uncultured bacterium. RNAcentral's name for it is "bacterial SSU rRNA". It matches the Rfam family "Bacterial small subunit ribosomal RNA", at positions 8 to 334 of the family's 1533-position model. The record is from RNAcentral.